Pseudoliparis swirei is the source of this 216-nucleotide small nucleolar RNA. RefSeq annotates it as small nucleolar RNA U3. The record is from RefSeq and is a predicted model, not a curated record. The transcript has a single exon. NCBI's taxonomy places the organism in Eukaryota, Metazoa, Chordata, Actinopteri, Perciformes, Liparidae.
AAGACUAUACUUUCAGGGAUCAUUUCUAUAGUUCUUGACUUGAGAAAUGUGUUUCUAAAAUGUUUGGUCUCGCUAACCACGAUGAAGAGAUUGUGAUACUCUUCCCUGAGCGCGAAGCGGGCUCACAGUCAUGAUUCACUUCAUAUGCUGUCUGCCUUUGAUGACCGUUCGGAGCUCCUCUGGGGGCUUUGAGGGGGGGAGUAUGUGCGGAGUGGU